UAGCAAGUGCAAAUUAACAAAAUGCAAAUGAGGCAUACCAGAGGUAGUGUGAUAUGAUGGAGAGAACAUUAGAUUUGGAGUCAAAAGCACUGCGUGGACUGGAACACAGACCCUGCCACAUAUCACCUGUGUGACUCAACAACACUUUUUGGUUGUUCAGUUUCACCAUAUGUAAAAUGCAGGAUUUGGAUCAGAAGACCUCGAAGGUCUCUUCCAGCUCUAAAUCCCAUGGAUGUUUGUAGAGAUUAAGCCAUAUGGAUUGGAGGUCUCUCCAGCUCCUGUCUCCAUGUCUUGGCACUGGCUGCCCUCCAUUCCUGGAAUGCUCUUCCUCCUAGCUUCCACCUCCUGGCGUCCUUCAAGACUCAGCUCCAAUGCCAUCUUCCAGAAGAGGCCUUUCCUGUUCCUUCUAGCCUCCAGUGCCUCCAAGGUUACCUUUCACCUACUCAGCAGGUAUCUUACAUAUACCUAUUUAUCCAUGUCAUCUCUUUGAUGUGUGAGCUCCUUGAAUGACAGCUCCUGAGGGCAGGGACUAUCUCUUGCUUUUCUUUGUAUCAUCAGCUCUUAGCACAGAGUCUGGCACAUAGUAGGCACUUAAUAAAUGCUUGCUGACUGAUUUUCCAAGUCAUUUGAACCUGUAAAGUCCCUUGCAGGUUUAAUUCUAUGACCCUAUCCAAAUCCCACUAAUCCUUCCAGGCCUAGAUUCUUAGAGUCCAUUUAAAUCUCCCUUCUCUGACUCCCCACAUCAUUUAAUCUAAGCCUAGAUCAUACACCAUUCUACAGUAGAGAUGCUACCAUCCCUUCUCUUAAAUAAUCCAUAUUGAAUUUAAACCUUUAUUAACUCUCCAGCAAUAGUGCAGAUUUGCUGGAUAACGUCAUCCAAGUUACCCUCACGGCCUCCAAGCAUAUUGUUUCAUAUGUCUUCUUUGUUUCUCUAAUACUAAGUUCUGAAAGGGCAGGAAGCAGGACUUCUCUUGCCUCCUCUAUUUGUAGCACGUGACACUGGCAGAGUCAGUGCCCAUGCUGACAUCUGGGGUAAGAAGAACCCAAAGCGAUGUGACUUUAGAUUUCUUGUUUGUCUGGAGCAGGAUGCACUGAAUCAUCUCGAAGACGGACUGCAUCGUCUUAAUGCUGCGGCAUCAUCUGGCAUUCAGAUCCGUAGCUUUCACAUACAUACCCUCUAUUUCCCGUCUAACAUACAUCUGUAGCCCUGGGCAGUUGGGUGGUUGGGAAGCUAAUCAGCAGCAGCCCAUCAGAGACAAAAUCCUCCUGCUUGAUUUACUUUGGCUAGUGCUCAUGGACGUUGCUCCUUUAAACCACACCCCCCCUCCCCACCAUGAAAAAAAGGAAGCAUAGCUCAAGCUAUGAGGACAGCAGGCAAUCAGUCAGGUGGUAAACAAGAAUUUAAAUGCUUACUAUGUGCUAGGCUAGCACAGCACGAGGCAUUCCCAGGCCAGUCUCAAGAGACUAGGAAGCUUCAGUCCCAGCUCCACCACUGGCAUAUCAGUGUUUUGAUUUCCCCGUCCAUGAAAUGGGUCAAUUCAGCUGCCCCUCACAGUCUUUUGGAAAGAGAAGAAAAGUCUUGUAGGAUGGAGUGGCUACUUCUACUAAAGAACUGCAGGAAGAGCAUCGGACGCAGGCCCUGUCGCUCACUAGCUGCGUGACUUUGGGCAAGCUUCCAUCCUCAGUGGGGGCGUCCCAGCUCAUCAAAAUUCGGUCAUUUCCAGAUGAGAGACACUCCUCAAAGAGUCAUCUUCCCUUACUGGAGAAACCCUUUUGACCAGCUCUCAUUGACCCUGAAAUGCUCCCAAAGAACAGGCUGAGAAUCCCCAACCUGAGGUCUGGCAGACGAUGAGCUCAGCACCAUUGGACAGAAUCACAAGGCUGAUCCAAGCUCUCAGCUGAUUCCAACUGUCCAGGAUCCAAGAGAUUGUUAGCUGUACUUCUGCCCUUCCAGGGUAUCUCAAAGGCCUUCCUCCCCAGCGUGCGCUGCAUCUGUCUCUGUUGGCCACCACCCUCGUUGCUUUAUGAGACAUCAGCAGUUCCCCUUUUGCCCACAUGAAGACAAGGCACCUUUGAACUCUCACUGUAUUUCCAAGAAUCCCAAUUACCUCAUGGGAGUCUGCUACAGGGUUCUGUUAUGUAGGUCAGCAGGCAAAGGGGCAACCAUGUGAUCUGGAUAGAUAAGCUUGUGAUGAGAUCAGCCUGUUCCAGCAAGAGGGCAAUGUGUUUGGGAACCACACUUCUACAAGACAGCUCCGUGAACUUCCAGGGCCAAGCUCUCCAAGGUAUCAACUGGUGGCCCCGUGUGACCCCUGAGACUGGAAUCUGCUGCCACUGUACCCCAUGCCCACCCACUGCAGCCAGGCCAAGCCUUUCUUUAAUGGCAGAAGCAAGGCCCAGGCCCAACGCAUUGCCUCAGUGACAUGUGCAAUGCCUUAUAGAAAAGCGUGGCACCGCCAGAAAGCCUCCUGAGGGUUCAUGAACUUGGGAGAAAUGUACAUCUUUGUUUAACUAUAUUAGGUUUCCUUUGUAAUCCUUUGUAUUUUAUGCAUUUAAAAACAUCAUUUUGAGAAGAGGUCUAUAGGCUUCUCCAGGCUAUCAGAGGGGUUCAUGAUCCAAAAAAGUCUCAGAAGCCCUGAUACACAUCAACCUUCUUCAAGAUUCCUUCAGUUUCCUCAUCUCCUACAACACAGGAUUAGCUCUGGAAAGGAAGCUGAACCCAAGUUGAAUGACCUGUCCAAGGUCACACUGGUGGUAUCAGAUUUCCCAACUCCAAGUUCAGAGCUCUUUCCACUGCCCCAUGAAAAUCUCCAAUCUUUCAGCUGGCUUUCUCUAAAAUGCCUCCAAAUCACCUUACCCAAUAACCACCAAACCUCUCCCCAACCCAAACAGGGACCUUCCAUUCAAGUCAGGCUGGUCUUUACUGUUCAUUCUAUUGCCGUUCCUUCAGAUCAUUCCUCUUGCCUGGAAUGCCCUCCUUCUCACCUCCACUCUAUGUCAAUCCUACCCAGACAAGAAGGCCCAGCUCCAUUCCCAGCUGCUCCCCAACCAUGCCAGCCCUCCCCCUCUGAACUCCAGCUUUAAUAGAGCACUUGAUUAGAUAUACUCCAAUAGAUUUAUGAUCUCAUCUUGUGGGUAUUACCUCCAAAAAUGCUGGUCAAAAUCCAUCUGUGUUCACACUUCCUAUCUUAUCUUGUUCCCUAAUUUGAGUCCAGUCACUCUGGCUAAGCUUUCAGGUCCUCGAGGGCAGGGACCAUAGCUAAUAUUUCUCUAACCCAACAGUACUGAGCAGAGGCUGAAGGCUUAACAGGUGCCCACUGACACCAUGUAACUAACCAGAUCCGUCUCCCUGUAGGUACAAACAGAUCUAUGGCUGCUGUCACUGCCAGAGCUCCUCAAUGACUGCCCUGCCCUGACCAAAAGUCACCAAAGUUAUUUAAACUGAGCUCAUAUCAGCUAUCCCUGGUUAGGGUCCAAAGAAGUCUAGGAAGGGCCCACAUUCACAGAGAACAUAACUGCUCUCAAUUCUAGGAUGAACUCAGGUAAUGCCCUUGACAUUUUGAAAGUCAUAGCUAAUGCCCUGGGCCUUGGUUUCUCUGUACUCAGAAUGUAGCCAAAUCCUUUGGAAGAGAAAGGACAUCAGUAAAAAGGAUGACUGAGAAAGCUAAAAUGGUGGUUCCCCAGUGACUCUUACCACUCAAACUCAAAGGUGGCCUGGAUGCCAGCUGCUUCACCAAUCACUGGACCCUCUUCUCAUGCAGCAGUGGGGUCCUCCUAACAUUCACCUCCAUCUGAGGAACCCCCUUGGGGAAUGUUCCUCUCCUCAGUUCCAACAGGGCCAGUUCUUAAAAUUAGUGCUUUACAGCUGAGGAUAAUACAAUGAACUUUCAGUAAUUCAACCAACCACCCUUUUCUUUGCCCACUUAGUGUGGAGAUGGGUCUGAAAACAAUGCUCUCUGAAGAAGGGUUGGAAAAUCAAAGGAUUGAGCCUUAACCCUGGAAAAGAAAAGCCAUGAGAGUGACACAGGACCGCUGUCUUGAGACACCUGAAGGACAGCCAUGUGGCAGAUGGUGUAGCUCCAGAGGUGUGCAAGUCCAGACAGCCACCUGGGCCAAGGACUGAAGAACCAAUAAAAGUUAUGCAGAAGCAAAUUUCAGCUCAAUGGAAGAAUUUUCUAAAAUGUGGAGAGCUAUUCCACAAUGGAAUGAGUUUCCUUAUGAAGUUAGUGAGCUCUCUGGCCUAGGAAGAACACAAAUGCUGUGUAGAUAGGGCACUUGUCUUGGGAGUCAGGAAGAUCUGAGUUCAAAUUUGAUCUUAGGCACUUAGUAAUAUAAUGUGUGACCCUGGACAAGUCACUUAACCUCCCUUAGUAGUAGAAAAGGAAUGUGCAUAUGCCUGUGUAAUUUUCAACUUAAUAAUUCUUGCAGUAAAUUCUUGGAGAGAGGAAGAAAGUUUGGAACUAAUAUUGUCAUUUGGAACGUCACUUGAUCUUCUGUUUCAUUGAUCCACGUGUCCUCUUGCUUCGGAUCAUUGAGUUGACUAUCAGUGUUCUUUCCUAAUGCUGACUUUAGACCACGUUGUUGAUUUGUCUCAAACAAAAGCAUUGGAAUUCUCCUUUCAUACUUGUGACCUAAGACAAUUUUAUUCUACUGGUACAACUCUAUUAAGCAAAGAAAUGGAGAAAUAAAAGCAGCUCAAAGGGGUAUGCUGCUGUGGACAAUGCUGAUCUCCCCCACGUGCCUACCCUGGGAUAAGGCCAACAAAUUUGGUGACUGAAUCUUCUGUUAUGAUCACCAUAGCUCCCACCUCUGGCACCAGAAGUCAGGAACCAACAGGAAACUUCAGAGGAGAGGAAUGAGAACAAGAUCUGCCCCACGGUGGAAGGACAAAAAGCAGAGAGUAGCAAGCGGGAUGCUAGGGAGGUUUGGGGUCUUCUCUGCAUCUUACCAUAACUGGCUUUCUGUGUGAGGUUUAGGGACUAAACCCACUGAGUGUGUGUGCUAUGGGGGAGGCAGGGGGAAAAGCAGUGAUGCAAAAAGAAUGGUGAAUACAGAGGACCCCAGUGUAGAAGUCCUGGGCUCUACUCCGGACAUGCCAUGAAGACUGAAUUCCUUGCCUGGUAUUUGUGAAGUGAUCAUUUGAGGGUACAGGAAAAUUCGUGCAAAGUGUGGUAAGGGAUUUAAUCCUCGCCACAAGAUUUUCUUUCUCUGGUUUUCACCAUCCCCAUUCCUUCUUAUUUUUCCAAAUCUCUUCCUAAAGAGUAGUACAACUGAAUACAAGUAUCAUUUCGAUGGAAAUAUAGGAAGCAUUCACUUGUGAGGGCCAUUGUUCUAGGCAUUAAGAAUGUCAGACUAGUCAACCCACACCCUUCCUUGGGCCAGA
Long non-coding RNA from Vombatus ursinus (common wombat), 5383 nucleotides. RefSeq lists it as uncharacterized. The transcript has 3 exons. Lineage: Eukaryota; Metazoa; Chordata; Mammalia; Diprotodontia; Vombatidae. The record is from RefSeq and is a predicted model, not a curated record.